This 339-nucleotide ribosomal RNA is filed under the name Triticum aestivum (bread wheat). RNAcentral describes it as "partial small subunit ribosomal RNA". Lineage: Eukaryota; Viridiplantae; Streptophyta; Magnoliopsida; Poales; Poaceae. The record is from RNAcentral.
AUGAGCACGGCCCUGUCUACUUGGAAAAGCAAUGUGAAGAGAAUGAUCCAGAAAGGUGAGAGUUAUGAGAAGAUCAAGGAGAAAAAUCCUUCGAUCACCGAAGAUGACUACAACGACUUCAAGAUCAAUUGGUCGAGCACCGCAAGCUCCGAAUCAAGUAAGUGGGGGAAAGAAAUGCGGGAGCUGAACUUAGGGGAACACACACUCGGUCCCGGCGGUUACAGAGUGGCGGAGCCUAUAUGGGACAAGGAGGAGGCGGACCGUGCCGAGCAAGGCCUACCGCCCCUCUUCGAUAAAUACGGUGACAAGCAGACCAGGAACUUUGUCAGGGCUCGGUAG